Molecule: ribosomal RNA, 296 nt
Filed under: uncultured bacterium
Lineage: Bacteria
Description: partial 16S ribosomal RNA
Rfam family: Bacterial small subunit ribosomal RNA
Source: RNAcentral
GGUGAACGCUGGCGGUGCGCCUAAUACAUGCAAGUCGAACGAGACGAUCGAGAAGUUUACUUUUUGAUCUGAAAGUGGCGGACGAGCGAGUAACACGUAAGUAUCUGCCCCGUACUCAGGGAUAACUGGUCGAAAGAUCAGCUAAUACCGGAUGGUCCAGCAAUGGUAAAGAUUUAUCGGUACGGGAAGAGCUUGCGGCUUAUCAGUUUGUUGGUGGGGUAAAGGCCUACCAAGACUAUGACGAGUAGCUGGUGUGAGAGCAUGACCAGCCGCGAUGGAACUGAGACACGGUCCAU